Molecule: ribosomal RNA, 462 nt
Filed under: uncultured bacterium
Lineage: Bacteria
Description: bacterial SSU rRNA
Rfam family: Bacterial small subunit ribosomal RNA
Source: RNAcentral
GACGAACGUUGGCGGCGUGCUUAAUACAUGCAAGUCAACUGAAGCACCGGUAGUAAUACUGGUGUGGAGGUGGCGCACGGGUGAGUAACACGUAGGUAAUCUGCCUUCAGGUCUGACAUAACCCCGAGAAAUCGGGGCUAAUAGCAGAUGAUGCAGCGGCUUGACAUCAAGACAGUUGUUAAAGCUUCGGCGCCUGAAGAUGAGCCUGCGUCUGAUUAGCUAGUUGGCGGAGUAAUAGCCCACCAAGGCGACGAUCAGUAGCUGGUCUGAGAGGAUGAUCAGCCACACUGGAACUGAGACACGGUCCAGACUCCUACGGGAGGCAGCAGUAAGGAAUAUUGCUCAAUGGGAGAAAUCCUGAAGCAGCAACGCCGCGUGAGGGAUGAAGGGCUUUUGCUCGUAAACCUCUGUAGUGAGGGAAAAAAUUUCCAUUCUAUGGAAUAUGAUGGUACCUCAAAAGUA